RNAcentral lists this ribosomal RNA (460 nucleotides) under uncultured bacterium. RNAcentral describes it as "partial 16S ribosomal RNA". It matches the Rfam family "Bacterial small subunit ribosomal RNA", at positions 338 to 795 of the family's 1533-position model. The record is from RNAcentral.
CCUACGGGUGGCAGCAGUGAGGAAUAUUGGUCAAUGGACGAGAGUCUGAACCAGCCAAGUAGCGUGAAGGAUGACUGCCCCAUGGGUUGUAAACUUCUUUUAUCUGGGAAUAAAAUGUUCCACGUGUGGGAUUUUGUAUGUACCAUAUGAAUAAGGAUCGGCUAACUCCGUGCCAGCAGCCGCGGUAAUACGGAGGAUCCGAGCGUUAUCCGGAUUUAUUGGGUUUAAAGGGGGCGUAGGUGGAUUGUGAAGUCAGUGGUGAAAGUUUGCGGCUCAACCGUAAAAUUGCAGUUGAAACUGGCAGUCUUGAGUACGGUAGAGGUAGGCGGAAUGCGAGGUGUAGCGGUGAAAUGCUUAGAUAUCGCGCAGAACUCCGAUUGCGAAGGCAGUGCACUGGACUGCGACUGACACUGAGGCUCGAAAGUGUGGGUAUCAAACAGGAUUAGAUACCCUUGUAGUC